Molecule: ribosomal RNA, 466 nt
Filed under: uncultured bacterium
Lineage: Bacteria
Description: partial 16S ribosomal RNA
Rfam family: Bacterial small subunit ribosomal RNA
Source: RNAcentral
GAUGAACGCUGGCGGCGUGCUUAACACAUGCAAGUCGAACGGAAAGGCCCAAGCUUGCUUGGGUGCUCGAGUGGCGAACGGGUGAGUAACACGUGGGUGAUCUGCCCUGCACUUUGGGAUAAGCCUGGGAAACUGGGUCUAAUACCGGAUAGGACCAUCGUUUAGUGUCGGUGGUGGAAAGUUUUUCGGUGUGGGAUGAGCUCGCGGCCUAUCAGCUUGUUGGUGGGGUAAUGGCCUACCAAGGCGUCGACGGGUAGCCGGCCUGAGAGGGUGUACGGCCACAUUGGGACUGAGAUACGGCCCAGACUCCUACGGGAGGCAGCAGGGGGGAAUAUUGCACAAUGGGCGCAAGCCUGAUGCAGCGACGCCGCGUGGGGGAUGACGGCCUUCGGGUUGUAAACUCCUUUCGCCAAGGACGAAGCGUUUUGUGACGGUACUUGGAGAAGAAGCACCGGCUAACUACGUG